GAUAAACGCUGGCGGCGUGCCUAAAACAUGCAAGUCGAACGGGUGACUUCGGUCACCAGUGGCGAACGGCUGAGUAACGCGUGGGUGACCUCGCUCCGAGUGGGGGAUAACUGCCCGAAAGGGUGGCUAAUACCGCAUGUGCUCGUGGGAUCGUUCCUACGCGCAAAGUCGCAAGACGCUCGGAGAUGGGCCCGCGUCCGAUUAGCUUGUUGGUGGGGUAACGGCCUACCAAGGCGACGAUCGGUAGCUGGUCUCAGAGGAUGAUCAGCCAGACUGGGACUGCGACACGGCCCAGACUCCUACGGGAGGCAGCAGUUAGGAAUUUUGGGCAAUGGGCGAAAGCCUGACCCAGCAACGCCGCGUGGGGGACGAAGGCCUUCGGGUUGUAAACCCCUUUUCCGAGGGAAGAUAGUGACGGUACCUCGGGAAUAAGCCCCGGCUAACUACGUGCCAGCAGCCGCGGUAAUACGUAGGGGGCUAGCGUUGUCCGGAUUUAUUGGGCGUAAAGCGCACGCAGGCGGCACGGCAAGUGGACGGUGAAAUCCUCCGGCUCAACUGGAGGGGGUCCGGCCAUACUGCCGCGCUCGAGGUCGCGAGGGGGAAGCGGAAUUCCCGGUGUAGUGGUGGAAUGCGUAGAUAUCGGGAGGAACACCAGUGGCGAAGGCGGCUUCCUGGCGCGAUUCUGACGCUGAGGUGCGAAAGCGUGGGGAGCGAUCCGGAUUAGAUACCCGGGUAGUCCACGCCCUAAACGUUGCGGACUAGGUGUCGGGGGUAUCGACCCCCCCGGUGCCGGAGCUAACGCAUUAAGUCCGCCGCCUGGGGACUACGGCCGCAAGGCUA
Molecule: ribosomal RNA, 840 nt
Filed under: uncultured bacterium
Lineage: Bacteria
Description: bacterial SSU rRNA
Rfam family: Bacterial small subunit ribosomal RNA
Source: RNAcentral